This 204-nucleotide long non-coding RNA is filed under the name Elaeis guineensis (African oil palm). RNAcentral's name for it is "long non-coding RNA (EGUI_LNC064218)". The record is from RNAcentral. Lineage: Eukaryota; Viridiplantae; Streptophyta; Magnoliopsida; Arecales; Arecaceae.
GUGGUGUGGAAAUAAUGGUUUGAUGCGUGGCUUCACGCGGCCUAUUGCAUGAUCGUGAAAGCAAAGGAGCUCGAGAUGGAUUCAAACACCGACUUUAACUGAAACUCGAAUACUUCAUGGGAGAUGCCAUCCAGUACUUUUUUUAUUAGUCCCACAUCAUAAAUCACAAGAUCCCCUCCCCCCUAACACCUAUGUAAGGACCUC